AUUGAACGCUGGCGGCAUGCCUUACACAUGCAAGUCGAACGGCAGCACGGGAGCAAUCCUGGUGGCGAGUGGCGAACGGGUGAGUAAUAUAUCGGAACGUGCCCAGUCGUGGGGGAUAACGUAGCGAAAGCUACGCUAAUACCGCAUACGAUCUGUGGAUGAAAGCGGGGGAUCGCAAGACCUCGCGCGAUUGGAGCGGCCGAUAUCAGAUUAGGUUGUUGGUGGGGUAAAAGCCCACCAAGCCGACGAUCUGUAGCUGGUCUGAGAGGACGACCAGCCACACUGGGACUGAGACACGGCCCAGACUCCUACGGGAGGCAGCAGUGGGGAAUUUUGGACAAUGGGCGCAAGCCUGAUCCAGC
This 362-nucleotide ribosomal RNA is filed under the name uncultured bacterium. RNAcentral's name for it is "bacterial SSU rRNA". It matches the Rfam family "Bacterial small subunit ribosomal RNA", at positions 30 to 392 of the family's 1533-position model. The record is from RNAcentral.